Molecule: small nucleolar RNA, 106 nt
Filed under: Olea europaea subsp. europaea
Lineage: Eukaryota; Viridiplantae; Streptophyta; Magnoliopsida; Lamiales; Oleaceae
Description: Plant small nucleolar RNA R71
Rfam family: Plant small nucleolar RNA R71
About the family: R71 is a member of the C/D box family of snoRNAs containing the C (UGAUGA) and D (CUGA) box motifs.
Source: Rfam by way of RNAcentral
AUCCCAUAAUUUGGACACUUUCUCAUCAAUUCCUUGAAUCUGUUUCAUGCCUCAUAAUAACUUUCCCCAUCUUUCUAUUGAAAAGUUUGAAUUUCCGAUUGAAUUU